UUUUUUUUUUUUAUUUGCAUCUUGUUCAGCUAGUGAUAUAAUCUUUGUACAAGUAUAUAUAUAUAUAUAUAUAUAUAUAUAUAUAUAUGAUAGAUAUAUUUGUUUAUAAUUAUUUUCGCAUUUUUUUUUUUCUUUUAUUUAUUUAUUUAUUUAUUUUUUGUAUAUUUUAUAAACUCUGCUGUUUUGUACCUAUAUAUACGUCCCUGUAUGUACAAAUUGUUUUUUUCUGAUUUAAAGUUUUGUUUUUGUUUUUUUUUGUCACUAUUUUGUAAAGUGAAUAUACAUUUUAUAUAUGUUAUGUUUUGUUUUUAUUGAACUAUUCAACUAUACAAACAUUCUGAAAAUUGCUAAUCAACCAAUUUAUCAAUUAUAAAAGUAAAAGACAAAAUGGUAAGUUGUGAGUAUGCCGCUGGAGUAGUUUCUGAACGUUUGGACAGUAUAAAAGAUUACGAUACUGGGAGAAAAUCGAAGUUUCACAUGUUCAAUUUUGUUAAUAAUAAUAAUAAUAAUAUUUAUGAUAUUUUACAUAAUUAUGGUGCAGAAAAUAAAAAUAACAUAUGUAAUAAAAAAGCUAAUAAAUAUGAUAGCAAGUAUAAUGAUAAUAACAUGCAGUAUGCUGGUUUGCCAUCAUUUAUUCAAAAUUCCGAGAAUACAAAAAGUAAAAGGAUAAAAUGUGACAUAAGUAGUCAUAGUGAUGUUAUGAAAAAUGUGAUUCAAUAUAAUAAAAAUGAUGAUCAUAAAAUAAAUAAUUCAAAAUACUUUUUUUCUAAUAAGGGUCAUGUAGUAACACCUAAAAGAAUUUUAACUAGACAUGUUAAUGAUAAUGAAAUAGAUAAAUAUUUUUAUACAAAAUAUGAUGUGACUGAUAAAUCCAGUGGAAGAACGGAAAUAAUGGUUGCAAGAAAAAGUGGUUGUUCUAAUGUUAUUGUUCAGAACUUUACAGAAUUUGAUGCAUAUGCAACUUAUAAAAAAAGAGAUAGCAAAAAAAAUAGGAGUGAAUCUGUUGUUUAUACGCACAUGGGAAUUAUGUCAAAAGAUGAUAGCAAUCUAAAAAAUAAGAGCAGUAAAGCACAAUCUGUGUUUACUAUUGCAAACAGAAGUGACAACAUAGCGCCAGAAAAAUAUUGGUUGUGCCCAAUUGCUGAAAGUGAAAGAAAAACAAAAAAAAAGGUAUAUAUGUAGGUAAAGGUUUUUACUUAACUAUUUAAUGUUUUUUUUUUUUUUUUUUUUAUAUUUAUUCUCAUUAUGUUAAUUAUUCUCAUUAUGUUAAUUAUUCUCAUUAUGUUAAUUAUUCUCAUUAUGUUAAUUAUUCUAAUUAUGUUAAUUAUGCUAAUUAUGUUAAUUAUGCUAAUUAUAUUAAUUAUGCUAAUUAUGUUAAUUAUGUUAAUUAUGCUAAUUAUAUUAAUUAUGCUAAUUAUAUUAAUUAUCCUAAUUAUAUUAAUUAUGCUAAUUAUAUUAAUUAUAGUAAUUAUGCUCAUGUAUGUCCACUACUUUUAUGUCCCCUUUUAUGUUGUCUUGUUUGACAUAAUAACAAAUAUACUUUAAAAAAAAUGAACUUUUUUUACAGAUAAUAUCAAAUAUAUAUAAAAUUUAAGUACAUCUGUGCUUUUAUUUGUACAAUGUAUUAUAUAUAAAUAAAAUUAAUAAUUGUACGUUUUUUUUUUUUUUU
Molecule: long non-coding RNA, 1669 nt
Organism: Piliocolobus tephrosceles (Ugandan red Colobus)
Lineage: Eukaryota; Metazoa; Chordata; Mammalia; Primates; Cercopithecidae
Source: Ensembl